GGUCAAGCUAAUUAGGGCUAAUGGUGGAUACCUAGGCACACAGAGGCGAAGAAGGACGUAGUUACCGACGAAACGCUCCGGGGAGCUGGAAGCAAGCGACUGAUCCGGAGAUAUCCGAAUGGGGCAACCCCAAGUACUGCCUGUUGAAUAUAUAGACAGGUCAGAGCCAACCCAGCGAACUGAAACAUCUUAGUAGCUGGAGGAAGAGAAAGAAAUUUCGAUUUCCCAAGUAGUGGUGAGCGAACGGGAAACAGCCUAAACCAACGAGUUUACUUGUUGGGGUCGUGGGACAGCAAUAUCGAAUCUAGCGGUUAGACGAAGCAGAUAAAUACUGCACCAAAGAAGGUGAGAGUCCUGUAGUCGAAAACUUAAGGAUAGUAGCUGAAUCCCGAGUAGCAUGGGACACGAGAAAUCCCAUGUGAAUCUGCGAGGACCAUCUCGUAAGGCUAAAUACUACUGUGUGACCGAUAGUGAACCAGUACCGCGAGGGAAAGGUGAAAAGAACCCCGAUAAGGGGAGUGAAAUAGAACAUGAAACCAUUAGCCUACAAGUAGUGGAAGGACGAUUUAACGUCUAACCGCGUGCCUGUUGAAGAAUGAGCCGGCGAGUUAUAAGCAGUGGUAGGUUAAGUCAGAGACGUAGCCAAAGCGAAAGCGAGUCUGAAAGGGGCGUUAAUCACUGUUUAUAGACCCGAACCCGGGUGAUCUAACCAUGUCCAGGAUGAAGCUUGGGUAACACCAAGUGGAGGUCCGAACCGACCGAUGUUGAAAAAUCGGCGGAUGAGGUGUGGUUAGGGGUGAAAUGCCAAUCGAACCCGGAGCUAGCUGGUUCUCCCCGAAAUGUGUUUAGGCGCAGCGGUAACGAAUAUAUCUGGGGGGUAAAGCACUGUUGAGGUGCGGGCUGGGAGACCGGUACCAAAUCUCGGCAAACUCAGAAUACCCAGAGCACACGUUGCCAGUGAGACGGUGGGGGAUAAGCUUCAUCGUCAAGAGGGAAACAGCCCAGACCACCAGCUAAGGUCCCCAAAUCAUCGCUAAGUGGUAAAGGAGGUGAGAGUGCACAGACAACCAGGAGGUUUGCCUAGAAGCAGCCACCCUUGAAAGAGUGCGUAAUAGCUCACUGGUCAAGCGCUCUUGCGCCGAAAAUGAACGGGACUAAGCGAUGUACCGAAGCUGUGGAUUUAGCAAAAUGCUAACUGGUAGGGGAGCGUUCCGUUGUAGGUAGAAGCAGUAGCGGCAAGCAGCUGUGGACGAAACGGAAGUGAGAAUGUCGGCUUGAGUAGCGAAAACAUUGGUGAGAAUCCAAUGCCCCGUAACCCCAAGGGUUCCAGAGCCAGGUUCGUCCGCUCUGGGUUAGUCGGGACCUAAGGCGAGGCCGAAAGGCGUAGUCGAUGGACACAGGGUCAACAAUCCCUGACUAUUGAGUGGGAGCAUAUUAAGGGACGCAUGACGAUAAGCCACACCCUAAUUGGAUUGGGAAGGGUCUACGGACUCUGCGUGGUGAACAAUAGUGCCAAGAAAAGCUUGAUAUGUGAUGAAAGCUCAAUACCCGUACCCUAAACCGACACAGGUGGGGAGGUUGAGAAUACCAAGGGGCGCGAGAUAACUCUCUCUAAGGAACUCGGCAAAAUUGCCCCGUAACUUCGGAAUAAGGGGUGCCCACGCAAGUGGGUUGCAGUGAAGAGGCCCAGGCGACUGUUUACCAAAAACACAGGUCUCCGCCAACUCGUAAGAGGACGUAUGGGGGCUGACGCCUGCCCAGUGCCGGAAGGUUAAAGAAGUUGGUCAGGGGGAAACCCUAAAGCUGACGACUGAAGCCCCGGUGAACGGCGGCCGUAACUAUAACGGUCCUAAGGUAGCGAAAUUCCUUGUCGGGUAAGUUCCGACCCGCACGAAAGGCGUAACGAUCUGGGCGCUGUCUCGGAGAGAGACUCGGCGAAAUAAGAAUGUCUGUGAAGAUACGGACUACCUGCACCUGGACAGAAAGACCCUAUGAAGCUUUACUGUAGCCUGUAAUUGGUUACUGGUUCUGACUACGCAGUAUAGGUGGGAGGCAUUGAAAGUUCCCUUGUGGGGGGACUGGAGCCGACAGUGAGAUACCACUUUGUCAGAACUGGGAGCCUAACCGGGAGCCGUUAUCCGGCACUGGGACAGUUUCAGGUGGGCAGUUUGACUGGGGCGGUCGCCUCCUAAAAGGUAACGGAGGCGCACAAAGGUUCCCUCAGCACGGUUGGAAAUCGUGCGUAGAGUGUAAAGGCAAUAAGGGAGCUUGACUGCAAGAGUCACAACUCGAGCAGGGUGGAAACACGGUCUUAGUGAUCCGACGGCACAGCGUGGAAUGGCCGUCGCUCAACGGAUAAAAGUUACUCUAGGGAUAACAGGCUGAUCUCCGCCAAGAGUUCACAUCGACGCGGAGGUUUGGCACCUCGAUGUCGGCUCAUCGCAACCUGGGGCGGAAGUACGUCCCAAGGGUUGGGCUGUUCGCCCAUUAAAGCGGUACGUGAGCUGGGUUCAGAACGUCGUGAGACAGUUCGGUCCAUAUCCGGUGCAGGCGCAAGAGCAUUGAGAGGAGUCCUCCUUAGUACGAGAGGACCGGGAGGAACGCACCGCUGGUGUACCAGUUAUCGUGCCAACGGUAAACGCUGGGUAGCCAAGUGCGGAGUGGAUAACCGCUGAAAGCAUCUAAGUGGGAAGCCCACCUUAAGAUGAGUGCUCUCAUGGCAUAAGCCAGUAAGGUCACAGGUAGAUUACCUGUUGAUAGGCGGUAGGUGGAAGUGCAGUAAUGUAUGCAGCCGAGCCGUGCUAACAGACCGAGGGCUUGACCUC
This 2825-nucleotide ribosomal RNA is filed under the name Kalymmatonema hyalinum. Its description in RNAcentral is "bacterial LSU rRNA". It matches the Rfam family "Bacterial large subunit ribosomal RNA". The record is from RNAcentral. Lineage: Bacteria; Bacillati; Cyanobacteriota; Cyanophyceae; Nostocales; Scytonemataceae.